Small nucleolar RNA from Amphilophus citrinellus (Midas cichlid), 68 nucleotides. Its record names the gene SNORD58. It matches the Rfam family "Small nucleolar RNA SNORD58". From Rfam's summary of the family: snoRNA U58 is found in introns 1, 3 and 6 of the ribosomal protein RPL17 gene in humans. NCBI's taxonomy places the organism in Eukaryota, Metazoa, Chordata, Actinopteri, Cichliformes, Cichlidae. The record is from Ensembl.
UUGCAGUGAUGACUCUUUAGGACACCUUUGAAUGAACCAUGAAAAGAACGUGAGAAUGUCUGAGCGAU